Molecule: ribosomal RNA, 431 nt
Filed under: uncultured bacterium
Lineage: Bacteria
Description: partial 16S ribosomal RNA
Rfam family: Bacterial small subunit ribosomal RNA
Source: RNAcentral
ACGAACGCUGGCGGCAUGCCUAACCCAUGCCAGUCGAACGAGACCUUCGGGUCUAGUGGCGCCCGGGUGCGUAACGCGUGGGAACCUGCCCUUAGGUUCGGAAUAACUCCCCGAAAGGGGUGCUAAUACCGGAUAAUGUCUUCGGACCAAAGAUUUAUCGCCUUUGGAUGGGCCCGCGUUGGAUUAGCUAGUUGGUAGGGUAAAAGCCUACCAAGGCGACGAUCCAUAGCUGGUCUGAGAGGAUGAUCAGCCACACUGGGACUGAGACACGGCCCAGACUCCUACGGGAGGCAGCAGUGGGGAAUAUUGGACAAUGGGCGAAAGCCUGAUCCAGCAAUGCCGCGUGAGUGAUGAAGGCCUUAGGGUUGUAAAGCUCUUUUACCCGGGAUGAUAAUGACAGUACCGGGAGAAUAAGCUCCGGCUAACUCCGU